GGAGGGUGCAAGCGUUAUCCGGAUUCACUGGGUUUAAAGGGUGCGUAGGAGGGCAGGUAAGUCAGUGGUGAAAUCUUCGAGCUUAACUCGGAAACUGCCGUUGAUACUAUCUGUCUUGAAUACCGUGGAGGUGAGCGGAAUAUGUCAUGUAGCGGUGAAAUGCUUAGAUAUGACAUAGAACACCGAUUGCGAAGGCAGCUCACUACACGAAUAUUGACUCUGAGGCACGAAAGCGUGGGGAUCAAACAGGAUUAGAUACCCUGGUAGUCCACGCCCUAAACUAUGGAUACUCGACAUACGCGAUACACUGUGUGUGUCUGAGCGAAAGCAUUAAGUAUCCCACCUGGGAAGUACGACCGCAAGGUUGAA
RNAcentral lists this ribosomal RNA (369 nucleotides) under uncultured bacterium. Its description in RNAcentral is "bacterial SSU rRNA". It matches the Rfam family "Bacterial small subunit ribosomal RNA", at positions 527 to 898 of the family's 1533-position model. The record is from RNAcentral.